AUUGAACGCUGGCGGCAUGCUUUACACAUGCAAGUCGAACGGUAACAGGGUGCUUGCACCGCUGACGAGUGGCGAACGGGUGAGUAAUGCGUCGGAACGCACCGAGUAAUGGGGGAUAACGCAGCGAAAGUUGUGCUAAUACCGCAUACGCUCUGAGGAGGAAAGCGGGGGACCUUCGGGCCUCGCGUUAUUCGAGCGGCCGACGUCUGAUUAGCUAGUAGGUGAGGUAAGAGCUCACCUAGGCGACGAUCAGUAGCGGGUCUGAGAGGAUGAUCCGCCACACUGGGACUGAGACACGGCCCAGACUCCUACGGGAGGCAGCAGUGGGGAAUUUUGGACAAUGGGCGCAAGCCUGAUCCAGCCAUGCCGCGUGUCUGAAGAAGGCCUUCGGGUUGUAAAGGACUUUUGUCAGGGAGGAAAUCCCUAAGGUUAAUACCCUUGGGGGAUGACAGUACCUGAAGAAUAAGCACCGGCUAACUACGUGCCAGCAGCCGCAGUAA
Molecule: ribosomal RNA, 500 nt
Filed under: uncultured bacterium
Lineage: Bacteria
Description: partial 16S ribosomal RNA
Rfam family: Bacterial small subunit ribosomal RNA
Source: RNAcentral